Molecule: ribosomal RNA, 228 nt
Filed under: uncultured eukaryote
Lineage: Eukaryota
Description: partial 18S ribosomal RNA
Rfam family: Eukaryotic small subunit ribosomal RNA
Source: RNAcentral
GGAAAACUUACCAGGUCCAGACAACGUUAUGAAUGUCAGCUUAAAGAGCUUACAUGAUUCUUUGGGUGGUGGUGCAUGGCCGUUCUUAGUUGGUGGAGUGAUUUGUCUGGUUAAUUCCGUUAACGAACGAGACCCCAACCUGCUAAAUAGAGUCGUUCUCAAUUUUUGAGGGCGGGUACUUCUUAGAGGGACUUUCGGAACCAAUCCGAAGGAAGCUUGGGGCGAUAA